UACGAAGGGGGCUAGCGUUGUUCGGAUUUACUGGGCGUAAAGCGCACGUAGGCGGAUCGUUAAGUCGGGGGUGAAAUCCUGGAGCUCAACUCCAGAACUGCCUUUGAUACUGAAGAUCUUGAGUUCGGGAGAGGUGAGUGGAACUGCGAGUGUAGAGGUGAAAUUCGUAGAUAUUCGCAAGAACACCAGUGGCGAAGGCGGCUCACUGGCCCGGUACUGACGCUGAGGUGCGAAAGCGUGGGGAGCAAACAGG
This 253-nucleotide ribosomal RNA is filed under the name uncultured bacterium. Its description in RNAcentral is "partial 16S ribosomal RNA". It matches the Rfam family "Bacterial small subunit ribosomal RNA", at positions 524 to 776 of the family's 1533-position model. The record is from RNAcentral.